GUCUGAGAAUGCUGUGGUCUGAAUGUCUGUGCCUCCCCAAAAUUCAUAUGCUGACAACCUACUCACCAAGGUGAGGAGAAUUGGAAGUGACUUUGGGGGGUGAUUAAGUCAUUAGGGUGGAGCCCUCUUGAAUGGGAUUAGUGUCCCUUCUGCCAUGGGAAGACUCAGCAAGAAGAUAUGAUCUUCUGCAGAAGACGCCGUGCUGGCCACUGCCCACUCCUUAACCCUGGACUUCACAGCUCCAGGUCAUGAGACCAUGAGAAAUAAAGUGUGUUGAUUAUAAGACUCGGGAUUAUGAAAUUUUCGUUACAGCAGAGCAGCCUGAAUAUGCAAAGACCAACAAUAUGCUGCAUUUUUCCUAUGAAGACUGUGGCCAGUCUUUGCUGUGAAAAAAUACUCUCUGGUAACUUUUCUGUGGGUCCUCAUCACACAAUUUGCCUCAUGUUGUACUGCGAUGAGGUCAGUGUUUUCUAAUAAUGAGAAAUUCUCCAUCUUCAAGGCCAGUAGCUAGUGCCCAGGGGCUACAGGAAGGACAUGUUGGUUUCAGCUGGUGACAGUCCCAUCCUACGGUAGCAGCUGGCUUGUCGUCUGAAGGAGCCAGGCUCAACAAAAAGAGAACUGUGAGCUCUUUGUGGGAGCCUUUGGGCUGCCCAUGGCCUAUGCUGAGCCCCACCUUUCUGACAUGAGGCCUCCCCAGGGCUCCUUAAGCUUCUAGAUUUUUCUCAGGAUUCCUCUGUGUCUGGUGUUGAAUAUGCUGAAUAUCAAUCUACAAUCAAUACAGUGUUGCCUGGAGGCACCUCUUGCUUCAAAUUUGCUUCACAAAUCUGCUGCAGUGACAGAAAGCUAAGACAGCUGCAGAAAAAGCCAACCCUGCUGAUUCCUUCAUCUUGGACUUGCAGCCUCCAGAACUAAAAAGCCAAAGUAUAAACCAUGAUAAAGGAGAGAGAAGAGAAGGAAGGGGCUUGGCAAGGAUCCGGCAGUGGAAUGGGACAGACUUUCAACACCUUGCCAUGCGAUCUUUCCCCACAAACUCCUGUGUGACCCACAUAUGAAUUCUCACUGAGAGACACAGACUGAAAGAGGCUUGGCCUGAAGAAUUUGCCAGAGGGCACAGGGAGCAUGGCUUAUUUCUUGGGAGAUGACAACAGGUCAAUUUGAUCCUACACUGUAGAAUUUUCUCCAGAUGAAAAGUGAGUUUUUGAACCUGCUAAUAGCAGCACCAUGGAAUGUUUUCAGUUAUUUUCAAUCUCCAUGUUUGACUACUUUAGACCUAGAAACAUCAGUGCUGGUUCCAGUUGGAAAGAAAUAAUGGAAGAGAGAUGUGAAGAUGCCCAGGUACUUGUUACAAAUAAAUUAAAAAUAAAAAAGAAACUGUCAUGUGGCCAGAUGAUCAACAAUAUAAUGGGUAUUUGAUUGAAGCUAGAAAUACUCUAAAUAGAACUGAAGAUUGCCCUUUAAAAAUUGAAAACAAAA
RNAcentral lists this long non-coding RNA (1473 nucleotides) under Heterocephalus glaber (naked mole-rat). Its description in RNAcentral is "lncRNA (ENSHGLG00100041924.1)". Lineage: Eukaryota; Metazoa; Chordata; Mammalia; Rodentia; Bathyergidae. The record is from RNAcentral.